Molecule: ribosomal RNA, 225 nt
Filed under: Triticum aestivum (bread wheat)
Lineage: Eukaryota; Viridiplantae; Streptophyta; Magnoliopsida; Poales; Poaceae
Description: partial small subunit ribosomal RNA
Source: RNAcentral
AUGAGAAUACUAAGUUGGAACUACCGUGGGAUAGGCGAUCCCGCGACAGUUCGUGAACUCCGUGAUCUCCUUGAGAUCAGCUCGCCAUCUAUCCUUUGUUUAGUAGGAACUCAGUUACAAAAGGCUCGUGUUGCGGGUCUUCGUCCUUCCUUAGGUUUUGAUUUCAGUUUUGGUGUUGGUAGUACUGGUCGCAGUGGUGGCAUUUGUAUCUUCUGGAAAAACUCU